AUUGAACGCUGGCGGCAGGCUUAACACAUGCAAGUCGAGCGGUAACAGAGAGAAGCUUGCUUCUCUGCUGACGAGCGGCGGACGGGUGAGUAAUGCCUAGGAAUCUGCCUAGUAGUGGGGGAUAACUUGCCGAAAGGUAAGCUAAUACCGCCUACGUCCUAUGGGAGAAAGGAGGGGACCUUCGGGCCUUUCGCUAUUAGAUGAGCCUAGGCCGGAGUAGUUAGUUGGUGAGGUAAUGGCUAACCAAGACCGCGAUCCGUAACUGGUCUGAGAGGAUGAUCAGUCACACUGGAACUGAGACACGGGCCAGACUCCUACGGGAGGCAGCAGUGGGGAAUAUUGGACAAUGGGGGGAACCCUGAUCCAGCCAUGCCGCGUGUGUGAAGAAGGUCUUAGGAUUGUAAAGCACUUUAAGUUGGGAGGAAGAGCAGUUAACUAAUAUUUGACUGUUUUGACGUUACCGACAGAAUAAGCACCGGCUAACUUCGUGCCAGCCGCCGCAGUAA
This 506-nucleotide ribosomal RNA is filed under the name uncultured bacterium. RNAcentral describes it as "partial 16S ribosomal RNA". It matches the Rfam family "Bacterial small subunit ribosomal RNA", at positions 30 to 523 of the family's 1533-position model. The record is from RNAcentral.